UAAGACAGAGGUGCCAAGCGUUAGGCGGAAUCACUGGGCUUAAAGCGUGUGUAGGUGGAUUUGUAAGUACCUUGUGAAAUCCCACGGCUCAACCGUGGAACUGCUCGGUAUACUGCGAAUCUUGAGCCACUUAGGGGCUACCGGAACAAAUGGUGGAGCGGUGAAAUGCGUAGAUAUCAUUUGGAACGCCAAUGGUGAAAACAGGUAGCUGGGAGUGUGCUGACACUGAGACACGAAAGCCAGGGGAGCGAACGGGAUUAGAUACCCCGGUAGUCCUGGCCGUAAACGAUGUCCACUAGAUCGUAGGAGCUCUGACGCUUUUAUGGUCGAAGCAAAAGUGCUAAGUGGACCGCCUGGGAAGUACGGUCGCAAGGCUA
This 377-nucleotide ribosomal RNA is filed under the name uncultured bacterium. Its description in RNAcentral is "bacterial SSU rRNA". It matches the Rfam family "Bacterial small subunit ribosomal RNA", at positions 521 to 896 of the family's 1533-position model. The record is from RNAcentral.